RNAcentral lists this ribosomal RNA (253 nucleotides) under uncultured bacterium. RNAcentral's name for it is "partial 16S ribosomal RNA". It matches the Rfam family "Bacterial small subunit ribosomal RNA", at positions 524 to 776 of the family's 1533-position model. The record is from RNAcentral.
CACGUAGGGUGCGAGCGUUAAUCGGAAUUACUGGGCGUAAAGCGUGCGCAGGCGGUUUCGCAAGUCGGGUGUGAAAGCCCCGGGCUUAACCUGGGAAUGGCAUUUGAAACUACGAGACUGGAGUGCGGCAGAGGGAGGUGGAAUUCCACGUGUAGCGGUGAAAUGCGUAGAGAUGUGGAGGAACACCGAUGGCGAAGGCAGCCUCCUGGGCCAGCACUGACGCUCAUGCACGAAAGCGUGGGGAGCAAACAGG